RNAcentral lists this ribosomal RNA (305 nucleotides) under uncultured bacterium. RNAcentral describes it as "bacterial SSU rRNA". It matches the Rfam family "Bacterial small subunit ribosomal RNA", at positions 335 to 638 of the family's 1533-position model. The record is from RNAcentral.
UCUCCUACGGGACGCAGCAGUGAGGAAUAUUGGUCAAUGGGCGAGAGCCUGAACCAGCCAAGUCGCGUGAAGGAUGACGGCCCUAUGGAUUGUAAACCUCUUUUGUCAGGGAGCAAAGGGCGCCACGUGUGGCGUUUUGCGAGUACCUGAAGAAAAAGCAUCGGCUAACUCCGUGCCAGCAGCCGCGGUAAUACGGAGGAUGCGAGCGUUAUCCGGAUUUAUUGGGUUUAAAGGGUGCGCAGGCGGAAUGUCAAGUCAGCGGUAAAAUUUCGGGGCUCAACCCCGUCGUGCCGUUGAAACUGGCG